AGCACACUCCGGCCUUCUGGCUCUGCCCCUCCUUCCGGCCUUGAACAAAGGUCUUCUUUGCAUGCUCCACCUCAGCGCGGCUGCUGACUCCAGGUCUCUGAUCUAAUAUCACCCUUCCGACUGCAUGGUCACUGACCCAUUGUAAAUUUUUGUGGCAAUGUCCAUGUCAUCAAGAAGAUGAGCAGAAGCACUGGAGAAUUAGUUUGUGAUCUUGAACAUACUGUUGAGAUUUUGGGGGUGUAGCUUACCUGUGAUAAGCAGAAGACACUCUCCAGCAGCAAAGAUCCUGGUCAUCCAGCUCUUCAGUCUUCCGCCCCUCUCUGUGGUGUUCCCUGAAAAGAGUCUUGCUGUAUAGCUCAGGCGGGCCCCAAGCUUGCAUUCCUCCCGCUCUAGGCUUCAGAGUGCGGAGAUAACAGAUGUGUGACGUGUCACCCUGCCCAGUUUAGAAGACCUACUUUCAAGCAUACACCUGGAAGGACAAAUGUGUUUUGUGAAAGUAAAUGCCAUUUUUGUGCAAGAUGAACCGCUCUGCUCCAACAUCCCUCCUUGCAAGGUGUUCUGAUUCACCACAGCCCAAACACGAUGGCGAGAAGUAGAUUACAGACUGAAGCCUGUGAAAUAAAUCCUUCCUCCCUUCAUACUUUAUGUCAGUUAAAGAUGUGGCUUCCCAGCUCCUGCGUCCCCCACCAGCCUGCUGCUGCCUGCUCCCGUGCCUCCCCACCAAGAUGGGUUUUUAUGCUCCUGGAACCUGUGGAUGCACAUGUCCUCAUGUUUGGACAGCUCAAGUUAUAUGUAUGCCUGGUUCAUGGCAUCCUGCAAUGCCCAAAGCCCCUCUGUCUCACGGGCAGAAAAAAAAAAAAAAAAAAAGACAGAGCUGGGACAUCUUAUUGCAGUGACACAUUUAGACAUCGGUUCAGCGCUACCAAAGCAAAGAAGCUGGCCUUAAACAGACCCACUGAGACUAUCUGAAACAGCAAUGACGGUGCCUAACUCAACACACAGUUUUGAAAGAGUCUCAGACUUUCCUAUGACCUCUCUUGGUACUAUCUUUAUCUUUCUUCCAGUCCAACCGGAAAGCCUCCUGAGUCUAUAGGAGGGUUGGAGAAAUGAAGCUGUGCAAAUAUUCAAGUAAGAGAAAAAGCAAAUUAAUGGAAACAGCCUGACUUUGAGGACGCAAGCCCUGCUGAGAACUGGUACCACCGUUCCCACAGCUGCUCCCGCGGCUGUCCCCAUGCCAGUACCUGAGACCUUUGAUUGUUGUAGGCGUAAAAGAUGACCUGUGAGGCUUUGGCCAGAGAUAAGGAGAGCACCUAGAGGUGACAGUUAUAGCUCCUUCAUUAACGGGUUCAAAGAAGUCAAGCAUUACAUGGAAGGAGACCAGUGGGAGUGACAGCCAGAGUCCCCUGUGUGAAGUUAAAUCUGAAUUGUAGAAUGAAACUUCUACUCCUUUCUCUCUACGUUCAACAGAGUAGAACCAACAGGAGGCACCCAGCAAGUUCCAGCCUAGAGCAGAGAGCUGACUAGAUAUUGCACUGGUAAGUCUGUUUGCUGGAGACCAGAAAGUCAUUUGAUCCCACUGUACCUAAGCGCAGGUAGUAAAGCAGGAAGAGAGGCAGAGGCUGCCUUGAUUCUAUAAACUACUGUUCACCAGGAGCGAACAUUUGGAUGUUAUUCAACUAAAAUGAGGGUGGAAAGAAGUGAAAAAGCAAGUAGAGAAGGAAGUGGAGAAAAAGAUAGACAUUUCCUCUUUGUCACUUCUGAAAGAGCUAAAUGUCCUAGAUGGGCAGGAGGAAAAAACAUGAAAGAAAGUGAAAAGCACCCUUCGUGAAGAUUCCCAUCAUGCUCAUGAGCAAUUCUGGCCAUUGACCCACCAUCCAAAUAGGAGGAAAGCACAGCGGACUUCUGGGGAGCAGACUGGCUUUUAUGACAACCUUCUCUCUAUCACCUGGGGAAUCUUAACCCAUAUUUUGGCAACCCUACUGAUGGAACUCCAGCACUGUAAGUUCUCCAAGAUCCCCUUGUGGGCAUAUUACUUUCCUACUGCUCAGAUUUACUGUGACGUAGAUCUAUGGUGGCCAAAGGUCUUGUGGCUGUGGCCGUGGCUGUGGCUGUGGCUGUGGCCAUGGCCGUGGAAAACAGAAUACUCCUCCAUGAGCUUCAAAACAGUUAAGGAAACUCCUUUGCCUAGCUAGAACCCCGGUUUGGACAGCCGUGAUCUCCAAAUGUCCAGCAGAGAGAAACCUUCGCAGCAAGCUGUCUGUCAUGGAAGAUUCAGGUGCACGCUUCCCACUCCUCAAAGACCUAGAAUUUUUUUCCUUAGAAGAGGAGAAAAAAUAAAUAGGAAAUCAGCCAGGUGUAGGUAUCACAGAAGCCACAUUGCAGAAGGGGGAAAAAAAGCAAGCAAUAAAAACAGUAGCCCUCAAAGAUACUAGUGAGUGUGUACAGAGCUCAGGAUCCAAGCUUUAAGCCCCCGCAGAGACAGGGGGAUGAGACCACGUGUGCCGACUGUGGAAACACUUGUAAAGCCACCAGGGACUGUAACUGCAAGGAGUGAAAUAGCAUGGCGGCUCUCGGCUAGCUCGGGGUAUGUGAGUUUGAGCUUCGUUUGCUGUCUGUUGCUUGGUGUGCUUGGAUUUCAGAUGGAAGGGCUCGAGGGGGAGGGAAGAAGAGACAAAGAUCCAAGUGGAUGUGGAAGGGUUCCCUUGGAGGGAGUAAAACACGUGAGUGCGCAGGGGAGAACACAAGCAAGCGGUGAGGCAGUGGGAACUGUGUAGCAUCUUACUGCCAGGGUGGCGUUCGGCGGGGCCGUUUCUUUGAGCAAACAGAAGUGAACCUUUGAGAAAAUCAUGGCAGCAGUUGAGCUAUCCAUCGGGGCUUGGGCGUGUGGCUCAGAGAAGAAGCGCCUGUCUGGCAUGGAUGUGGCCUUGGGUUAAACCUCGGCAUCCCAGACUCUCCAAAUAGGCACUGGAAAAAGCAGGUAAGGGUCCUGGGAGGGGAGGACAGCCAGGGAAAGGGUUAUAAGGAUGACAGUGCUACGCUGAUGAGUGAUGGCGGAGCUGACGGUCUGAGCAGGGAGGUUGGUGACAGGCACAGAGGAGCCCUGGGACUAUUUAGGGCAUCUUAUGUGGGAAGAUUCUUGAGGCCUGGGAUCCUUUGAAGGUCCCACAUUUCCCCGACUUCAUCCUUCCAUGAUAAGAACCUGGUUAGGUUUGUUACCCCAAGAGGAGCACCAUCACAUUAUCACGGUGACAAGUCUUUCAGCAUGAGAGCUAAAACCUGCAGACCGAGUUGGCCUAGAGGCCAGAGCGCUGGGGAACGCUGAGUGAUGUCUCCCAGAGAGCCAGAGGAGGAGGACUAUCUGUCCAGUUCUGUAUGUACUAGCUGAGGACACCGAGCCCAGGCAGAUAGCGGCCGAGGAGCGGUUCCUAGGAGGUACUCCCUUCUGAUCAGUUUAGGUGGGAAGGCCGGGGGUGGGGGAGGGAGCUGUGUGGAUCUCCUGGCGUCACUGCCCUCCUGGGGAUGGGACUCUGGCUGCACUUCUGGGUGUUAGACAAGGCAUCUCUUGCUAGAAUCUCAGGACACUCAGACAAAUGUGAAGCAAGGAGCUCCUGGAGAUGGGGACGGUAGAGAGAGGAACUGGACCCCUGAGAAGGACGAUGUCUGCAGGCAAAGAAGCUGCUCGUGUUUGCCAGCCACACAGGAAGCCAGUGACGGAGCUGACGUCUGGACAGCUCUGGACUGGAGUUCGUCACCAGCGUGAACUCUUCAUGGAAGAACAGAAAUGAGAUCUCUGACCAAGCUGUAAGAGAUCUCUACCCGAUGCUCUGGACAGAGGGUUCCACAUAGCCUCCAUCCCUGAAUUUCAUGUUUUAGGCUGCUAGGAGGAUGAACUGCACGGGGGGAUACAUGGGGCCCUCCUACCUUACAGACUCUAAUUCUAUACUACACAAACUUAGGCUGGGUGAGAAGAACUGGUGAGCAAGGGCAGGCAGGGAUCCCAGAUUCCUGGAGGAGCUUGCCUUCCCCUCCCGCCCACGCAGGCUUGUAAAAGAACUUGCUGGAGUAUCUUCAACCUGGACAACACGGAGGGUCAGGCCUAAAAGGACUGCAGAUGAACAGAGGCAGUGUCAGGAGGAGGUGUGGCUUUGCCAAGGCAGGUGGUCUGCUCAGCACCAGGCUUUCCACUGCACGGCUCCAAAAGAGAGAGCACUACUCCUGCUGCGACGAAAUGAGGGGCUGUGGGUCCCGGAGGGCCUUAGCCUAGCUGGCAAGAGCGCGCGGGACUGGUAUGAGAGCAGCUGAAAACUGUUGAGCUCGGUAUGAAUGAGUCCUGGCAACAGGUUCCUCACAAGGAUGUACCACCUCCAAAUAAAACUAAAAUAAACCUUUCCUCCCUUCGGUUCUCAGCAAUUUUGGUCACAGAAAUAAGAAAAGUAGCUAAUACAGAGAAAGAAAAGAAAGAAGGAAGGAAGAAAAGGAAGGACGGAAGAAAAGAAGGAAGGAAGGAAGGAAGGAAGGAAGGAAGGAAGGAAGGACAAAAGAAAGAAAGGAGAGAACGAGCAUACGUUGGUGGGGAGAAGAGGAACACUUGCUAGACCUCCAAGGUAUGGAGGAUGAAUCCGCUACCUCCGGGCCAUAAACUCAGACGUUUCUCCCAAUGCACCCUGGGAAUCAGCAAGAAACACAAUCCAGGCAGAAGCAGCGGGAAGCCUGCGCUUAAAGCUGAUUCAGGAAGACAGGUAUUUGCUGGCUCUUGGGCCAAACAGAACUGAGCUGAGGAGGCCCUGUGCAAACCGCCUACCCUCAGACAAGUCGCUUAAUGUGCUGGGCCUCAGUUUCCUCUUCUGCUACUUUACUGAAUUUGCAAGUCUUGUUCCACAAGUAGUUCUGGCUUCAAGGAACACUGAUGGUCUAUAGUGCCCCCUGGCGGGAGGUUUUGAAAAAACCUUUUCUUCUGUGGCGCUUCUUGCUGGGUGCUUGAUCUCUUUAAGACACUCCACUCUUAAGGCUAACGCAAGAAUUUUGCGCUUCCGAUUAUCUUUAACCUGAAACAAAACAAAACGAACGCAAAAACCAGGAUAGAGUGGUUCACUGAGAAGAAUUCACGCGGAGGGGCACGGCCUGCAAGCACAGCAGGGCUGAGUUCAGCUCCCACUCAUUCCUAGACCGAGUGGCUGGGAGCCUAAGCGGAAGCGAAGACGUGAAGGAGCAAGCUCACUUCUGUCUUGCUCUCCGUGGCUUUCUCAGCUUGCUUCCCGGGACCGCACGCCCAAGAAUAGCACCAACCACACUGCGCCCAAGCUCUCCCCCGCAGACAUGGCCGCUUCAAUGAGAGCAACUCCCCAGCUGAGGGUCUGUCCUAAGCGACUCUAGUUUGAGUCAAGUUAACGAAAAGCAGCCAGCACGCGUGCUUUCUGACCAUGAGCACAGUGGUGCUGUGAACUUGGAUCUUGUUUCCACAUGGCGUCAGUGUUUGCCUCUCCCGAUCGGAGCAUCCACUCCACAGCCCCAUCCCGAAGCUCCGGCCUUAGUGAGGUGCAGAGACCAUGGCAAGGACCGUGGGCAUCAUAGAGAACCUUCUGUGGGGGGACAGGUGUAAAAGUGGGUGAUGGUCUUAACCAAGCCAAAAGCUUCCAGAAAAUGGGUUUAUAAGAGAAGAGAUGGGGCUGAGAGUAAGGAAAUGAGGGGGAAAAUAAGGUUGGGGAAGUGCUAGGAUCGAUUGAUCUCCUGGGGGAAGUCAAUUCUUUGAGGAAGCUACCUCAGACAGUCCUGAUGCUGUCUCCUGCUGGGAAGCUCCAGUGCAGAGGAAAUUUAAUUCAGAACAUGGCUGUUCUGGCAACAGAUCACAUCCAAGGACCUCCCAGGUCUUUGUGAUUUGGCUGAAAUACAAACACCCCUUUAAUCCAGGGGACAGAGGCAAGCAGAUCUGAGUUUCAGGUAAAGAAAAGCUUAAGUCCAGGUGUGGUGGUACAUGAUCCCAAACAAUGAAGGUAAAGUUAGUUUGUAGAAGAAAGCACCCAUGUUCGGAAGUGAUGUCUAAUUGAGUGGCAGAAAGAGUGAUGAAUCAAAGAAAGACUUGACAGAAUAGGAUAUGCCCAACUCUCAUGAGAAGAGAGAGGAAAGAAAAGCUACUUAAAGGACAAUGAGGAAGAGAAGAGGCAGUUUUAUGGGGACAGUAAUAGAGAGACAGGUUGUAGGUUGUAGAGAGAGAACUCAGGUGAAGACUGAAUAAACCAGAGAAUGAGAAGGAGCCAGAAGAUUAGAGCAGAUUGCUGGAGUUACUUUGAGGCCAAACAGAGCUAUUCAGAGGCCAAGGGAAAAGCCAGGUUGAAUAAGUCAUCUGGAAGAAGAGUUUGAGCCAGAACAGCUGAGGUGAACCAGCCAGCCAGAGUUCAGUAAGAGAGCGUGUAAGGGUACCUUACUCCACAGUAAGUCUCAGAGGCUGGAAGUGUUCUAUGCCUAGAUUAGAUUAUACGGAGGCUAGAAGCUUCCAGGACUAGGCCUAGGUUAACAGAAAGAGGCAGUAAACCUCCAAGACAACAAGUGAACCAGGGCAAAUAAAAGUUCCUUUUACACCCCAGUUCUCCACAGCCAGCCACAUGAUUGCCAGUCAGCAACUGGAUUGCCAGGAAGGUAGAAAAAGAGCAGUCCUUUGGCAUACACAAGAUGGCAUAGCAUUUCCCCCAUAUCACUCACAUACAUCAUCACCACCACCACCAUCAUCACCACCAUCAUCAUCACCAUCAUCAUCAUCACCACCACCAUUACCACCAUUAUCAUCACCAUCACUGCCACUAUCAUCAUCAUCACCAUUACUAUCAUCACCACCAUCAUCACCACCAUUAUCAUCAUCAUCACUACCAUCAUCUUCUUCUUCUUCCUCUUCUAUUUCUUCUUUUUCUAUUUCUUCUCCUUUCUUCUUCAUCUUCUUCUUCCAUUAAAUAAAAUAAGUGCCAAGAUAAAAGUUCCAGCACUUGGAACAUAUUUCUACCUGUUCUCCUUGGGACAUUUCAUAUCUUGGGCUCCUUCCUCAAGGAGAGCAACAAACAAGGCAGCUCUGGAGACCCUCAUUUCCUCCCUCACACCAGCAGGCAGGGCCCCUCCCAAUGCUCAGGGUCUGAACAAGACCAGGGCAUGCAGGGCUGCCAGCACUACUAUUUCCUGGAUGCCAAACGCCUGAGUGACUGUCUGGAGGAGCUGGAGGUUGGCUUGGGUCUCCAUAUAACCCCAGAGCUGUGCAGAAGGAACUUAGGAUUGAAUCUUUCCAGCUUCCACUUUCUGCCAUUCGUUACACAGACUGGCCCAGAGCACAGCACGUUCCAGAAAAGCAGGUCCGUGAAAAGAGAACUCGGGAACUUGCGUAUCGGUGUCGGCUUUAAUGAGGGGAGGGGAGAAUUCACGCGCUAUAAACAUUAGCUCUAGGGUGAUGCCCUGGGCAAGCGGAGGCCUGGGAGUGGCUGGCAGCCUUAAGGGGGCUAGUGAGCAGAGGAGCAUGGCUCGGUUGAAGAUCAUCGCUGACCAAGCGUGUCAGCACACCAUUAAGGUCAAUCUUGUAUGCGGUUUCUGGUGAGCUCCAAGGUCCAUUUGGACUCUCCCUGUAAUGUGGUCACUUUAUGGUCCGUGUUUUGCUGCUUCCGGCUGCUGUUGUCCAUCACAUGGGCAUCCUAUCUCAGAUGCCAAGCAGUGGCAAAGCCGAUCCUGUGGGGGGGGGGGUGCUUCACCCUUCCCAUCAUUCUUUGGGGGUCUGCUGGUGAGACAUAAAAUCCAUUCCCGAAUGUCCUCAAAUCCCCAUGGAAGGAACAGGAACUAACACCAGCUGAGUACCUACAAUGUGCAGGCUUUCCCACUGUCCCGUCACAAAGGCCCCGCGAACAAGCGUGGAACCCAGAGUCCAGUCUGAAUCAGGGUGCACAUUACUACCGUCUCCCAUAGCUUCUGGGAAAGCAGGAAACUGAAGACAGAAAUUCAUCGGGGAAAGGCGGCCAUGCCUGGAGCUGAGCAUGACAGGAAGUCACACGCGGAUGUGUUAGGACAGUCUGUAGAUUCCACUCUGCCAUGGGAACCGAAACAAUCCCGGGACACAUGCGAGCUGUGGGCUCCCACGUAUUUACCCCCCUGCUCACCCAGUGAUGGCAACCACAGGUUACCACUAAGUGGAGCAGACAGCUUCAGGGGCAAAGGGCCUGGCCUUCCUCAGCUAAAGCUUCAUGGGCGUGCUGAACCUAGGGGCAUUCCUGUCCAUUAGCUAAACACAUCCUCCAUGAACUUAGAUUGGGCAUGCUUUGGAAUUACACCUUAACUGAGCAUGUACCAAGUUAUAUACGUAUGAAUAUGUUUAGGCUCCUUCGAUAAAACCACUAUGCUUCAUUCGUUUGAGGAGGUCAUUGAAGUUUAGGUAACACCAUCUUGUCCCAGCUCAAUUUUGUGUCUGCUUAAACAAUUUUCAGCCUUUUACCCACCCACAGCCACUUUGACAUUAGGGAUUUCUAUUACUCUGACCAUGGUCUAUAUGCAUUAACCAAAAUAAUUAAUGUGUAUGCACACUAAACAUGAGCUAAAAUAAUUUUAAAAGAUGUGAUUUAAAAUUAAUUUUCAUGUUGGGCAUUCUUUUGGAAAUGAUUCCCAUUCUCUCCUGCUAUGGGUAGUAAAUCUUUCUCUACCCCUUCAGGUCUUGGCUGUGUUUAUUUGGUUUUGCACUCACCAAAAUUUGAACCUAUUGCCUUUGGUUUCAGCUAGGGAACAGCUCCUACCUUUCCUCCUUCUGUGGAUCUAUGGAAAGGAGAUCCAGAGGGCAAAGAAGACCCCCAGAAGUCCAUGACACAUCAUCAGGCAUGGUAGCCAAGUGUCAGAGUCCUGUCUUACCGAACACAAUCCUGAGAAGACAGACAGAUAGAACUGUGGAUGAUACCCCUCCAUGGUCUCUUCCUUAUGGUGUCUUCUAUUGCUAACCUCACAUGAAAUCCACAGAACAUUCUCAGUCCAUCCUCAAAACUGGCUUCCCUGUCAUAGCAUCACAAUGCAAACAUGGCAGGCUACCUAGGACAUCCUAAAUGGUCUUUUUUGACAAUGGUCUUAGUCGCUGAUCUAUUGCUGUGAAGAGACACCAUGACCAAUGCAACACUUAUAACAGAAGGAACUUAAAUGAAGGCUUGCUUAAAGUUUCAGAGGGCUCGUUCAUCAUCAUCACAGGGAGCAUGGAGGCAUGGCAGGCAUGACUCUGGAGAUGAGAGCUUUACAUCCUGAUCUAUAGGCAGCAGGCACACAGAGAGACGCUGGGUCUGGCGUGGGUUUUCAAAACCUCAAAGCCUGUCCCCAGUGCCAUGUUUCCUUCAACAAGGCCAUACCUCCUAAUCCUUCUAAUCUUUUCAAAGAAGUCUACUCCCUGGUGACAAAAUAUUUAAAUAUAUGAGUCUAUAGGGAUCAUUCUUAUUUAAAGCACUGUAUUCCAUACUCCCUGGUCCCUAUAGAAUGCAAAAAUACAUUUAGUUCAACUUGAAAAGCCCCUAUUAGUCUUUCAAAGGCUCAACACUGUUUGAAAGUCCAAAGUCUCUUCUGAGACUCAAGGCAAUCUUUUAACUGUAACCCUCUGUAAAAAUAAAAA
This is a long non-coding RNA of Meriones unguiculatus (Mongolian gerbil), 9601 nucleotides long. RefSeq lists it as uncharacterized. The record is from RefSeq and is a predicted model, not a curated record. Lineage: Eukaryota; Metazoa; Chordata; Mammalia; Rodentia; Muridae. The transcript has 8 exons.